GAGGGAGCUGGACUUUUCUAGUCAGUCAAUUACAAUGCGGUUGCGGCUAAUAAGUGGCGAAUACAACCCAGCCUGGACAUCUCUGUUGUCAAAGUGUGUUGCAUACCAGGGAUAGAUGAAGCUUUGCAAAUCGGUUGUGUCAGAUCUCAGGGUGCAAGGAAAACUGCUCUUACAAUAUUCCGCAAAUAACAGAACGCCUACCUUACGAGACGUAGGUUGGCCAGCCUUGCAUGGGAAAGAUGCCCAUCUGGUUCCAAACUUGCGCGUAAGUUAAAUCUGCACGUUCUUCACACUAAUCUAAAGCUUCAACGCAAUGCCAUAUACUGUGACAAUGAAGCUAAGCGCAGUAAACAGUAGGACAGAUGUUGCUAAGUCAAUUCGCAACCACCGGCGAAUUGCCUCUAAAAGAACUGUCGGGCUGCACGACCUCUAUCUCUGUCAUGUUUUUAAAACGUAGAGAGAAGCUCAAUGUUUGACUUUAGUAUGAAAACAGGGGCACAAGAACAAGAGGAGUCUUUCCCGGGACAUUCAAAACCAGUCGACAAACCUUUUCGAGUUUGCAAUUCAAAAACAAUCAGGAUGAAUCACUUAUUGCAGUUUUACUCCAAAAAUGAGCUAAGAAACCAUACUUGGC
Molecule: long non-coding RNA, 634 nt
Filed under: Physcomitrium patens
Lineage: Eukaryota; Viridiplantae; Streptophyta; Bryopsida; Funariales; Funariaceae
Description: long non-coding RNA (PPAT_LNC013951)
Source: RNAcentral